RNAcentral lists this ribosomal RNA (876 nucleotides) under Adalia bipunctata (two-spotted ladybird beetle). RNAcentral's name for it is "SSU rRNA". It matches the Rfam family "Eukaryotic small subunit ribosomal RNA", at positions 52 to 868 of the family's 1831-position model. Lineage: Eukaryota; Metazoa; Arthropoda; Insecta; Coleoptera; Coccinellidae. The record is from RNAcentral.
UGCAUGUCUCAGUACAAACCAAAUUAAGGUGAAACCGCGAAAGGCUCAUUAAAUCAGUUAUGGUUCCUUAGAUCGUACCCACAUUUACUUGGAUAACUGUGGUAAUUCUAGAGCUAAUACAUGCAAAUAGAGCCUCGACCGGGAACGGAAGAGGCGCUUUUAUUAGAUCAAAACCAAUAGGUGGCGGGUCUCCGGGCUCGUCAUCGUACAAUUUGGUGACUCUGAAUAACUUUAAGCUGAUCGCACGGUCUCGUACCGGCGACGCAUCUUUCAAAUGUCUGCCUUAUCAACUGUCGAUGGUAGGUUCUGCGCCUACCAUGGUUGUUACGGGUAACGGGGAAUCAGGGUUCGAUUCCGGAGAGGGAGCCUGAGAAACGGCUACCACAUCCAAGGAAGGCAGCAGGCGCGCAAAUUACCCACUCCCAGCUCGGGGAGGUAGUGACGAAAAAUAACGAUACGGGACUCAUCCGAGGCCCCGUAAUCGGAAUGAGUACACUCUAAACCCUUUAACGAGGAUCAAUUGGAGGGCAAGUCUGGUGCCAGCAGCCGCGGUAAUUCCAGCUCCAAUAGCGUAUAUUAAAGUUGUUGCGGUUAAAAAGCUCGUAGUCGAAUUUGUGUCUCGCGCCGUCCGGUUCAUCGUUCGCGGUGUCAACUGGCGUGUCGCGAGACGUCCUGCCGGCGGGUCGUUCGCAAGAGCGGCCCAACUGACCCCGCCGCGGUGCUCUUCAUUGAGUGUCGAGGUGGGCCGGCACGUUUACUUUGAACAAACUAAGGUGCUUAAAGCAGGCUGAAAUUUUGCCAGAAUAUUUUAUGCAUGGAAUAAUGAAACAGGACCUCGAUUCUAUUUUGUUGGUUUUCUGAACCUCGAGGUAAUGA